GCUUACGGCCAUACCACCCUGAGCACGCCCGACCUCGUCUGAUCUCGGAAGCUAAGCAGGGCUGGGCUUGGUUAGUACUUGGAUGGGAGACUACCUGGUGCUGUAAGCC
Ribosomal RNA from Maylandia zebra (zebra mbuna), 109 nucleotides. Lineage: Eukaryota; Metazoa; Chordata; Actinopteri; Cichliformes; Cichlidae. The record is from Ensembl.